Molecule: non-coding RNA, 218 nt
Organism: Pelobates cultripes (western spadefoot toad)
Lineage: Eukaryota; Metazoa; Chordata; Amphibia; Anura; Pelobatidae
Source: the annotation of a GenBank genome assembly
CGGUUCUCCCCUUGGUUACGCUAACCUGUCAGUGUAUGAAGGGAGGAAAGUGGGCUGAUAGUCUCAUAGUGAAAAUACCAAUAAUAACUGGGCAGUAUGUGAGAAUCCGGAAUCCCCUUGGCAUCUGGCAUCUGCGCCCCUAGAGUUGUGUAGAGAGCACAUACCCCCUCCUUCCACCUUGAAUGAACCUCUCACCCCCCCCACCACCACCACUCCUU